GUGGGGAAUCUUAGACAAUGGGCGCAAGCCUGAUCUAGCCAUGCCGCGUGAGUGAUGAAGGCCCUAGGGUUGUAAAGCUCUUUCAGCUGGGAAGAUAAUGACGGUACCAGCAGAAGAAGCCCCGGCUAACUCCGUGCCAGCAGCCGCGGUAAUACGGAGGGGGCUAGCGUUGUUCGGAAUUACUGGGCGUAAAGCGCGCGUAGGCGGACUGAAAAGUUGGGGGUGAAAUCCCGGGGCUCAACCUCGGAACUGCCUUCAAAACUAUCAGUCUGGAGUUCGAGAGAGGUGAGUGGAAUUCCGAGUGUAGAGGUGAAAUUCGUAUAUAUUCGGAGGAACACCAGUGGCGAAGGCGGCUCACUGGCUCGAUACUGACGCUGAGGUGCGAAAGCGUGGGGAGCAAACAGGAUUAGAAACCCCGGUAGUCC
This 425-nucleotide ribosomal RNA is filed under the name uncultured bacterium. Its description in RNAcentral is "partial 16S ribosomal RNA". It matches the Rfam family "Bacterial small subunit ribosomal RNA", at positions 354 to 796 of the family's 1533-position model. The record is from RNAcentral.